UGCCGCGGUGCCUGGGGGAGUUCCGCUACGGCCGCGGGGGCGGGGGCCGGUGGCAGCAGGGCGGGUUCGAUGCCCGCCGCGGCGA
Molecule: transfer RNA, 85 nt
Filed under: Streptomyces camponoticapitis
Lineage: Bacteria; Bacillati; Actinomycetota; Actinomycetes; Kitasatosporales; Streptomycetaceae
Description: tRNA-Pro
Source: RNAcentral